RNAcentral lists this ribosomal RNA (462 nucleotides) under uncultured bacterium. RNAcentral's name for it is "bacterial SSU rRNA". It matches the Rfam family "Bacterial small subunit ribosomal RNA", at positions 30 to 490 of the family's 1533-position model. The record is from RNAcentral.
AUUGAACGCUGGCGGCAUGCCUUACACAUGCAAGUCGAACGGUAACAGGUCUUCGGAUGCUGACGAGUGGCGAACGGGUGAGUAAUACAUCGGAACGUGCCCGAUCGUGGGGGAUAACGCAGCGAAAGCUGUGCUAAUACCGCAUACGAUCUACGGAUGAAAGCGGGGGAUCGCAAGACCUCGCGCGGACGGAGCGGCCGAUGGCAGAUUAGGUAGUUGGUGGGAUAAAAGCUUACCAAGCCGACGAUCUGUAGCUGGUCUGAGAGGACGACCAGCCACACUGGGACUGAGACACGGCCCAGACUCCUACGGGAGGCAGCAGUGGGGAAUUUUGGACAAUGGGCGCAAGCCUGAUCCAGCCAUGCCGCGUGCAGGAUGAAGGCCUUCGGUUGUAACUGCUUUGUACGGAACGAAAAAGACUCUCUCUAAUACAGGGGUGAAUGACGGUACCGUAAGAAUAAG